UAGGGAAUCUUCGGCAAUGGGGGGAACCCUGACCGAGCAACGCCGCGUGAGUGAAGAAGGUUUUCGGAUCGUAAAGCUCUGUUGUUAAGGAAGAACGAGUGUGAGAAUGGAAAGUUCAUGCUGUGACGGUACUUAACCAGAAAGGGACGGCUAACUACGUGCCAGCAGCCGCGGUAAUACGUAGGUCCCGAGCGUUGUCCGGAUUUAUUGGGCGUAAAGCGAGCGCAGGCGGUUAGAAAAGUCUGAAGUGAAAGGCAGUGGCUCAACCAUUGUAGGCUUUGGAAACUGUUUAACUUGAGUGCAGAAGGGGAGAGUGGAAUUCCAUGUGUAGCGGUGAAAUGCGUAGAUAUAUGGAGGAACACCGGUGGCGAAAGCGGCUCUCUGGUCUGUAACUGACGCUGAGGCUCGAAAGCGUGGGGAGCGAACAGA
RNAcentral lists this ribosomal RNA (429 nucleotides) under Verrucomicrobiota bacterium. RNAcentral describes it as "Verrucomicrobia bacterium partial 16S ribosomal RNA". It matches the Rfam family "Bacterial small subunit ribosomal RNA", at positions 355 to 776 of the family's 1533-position model. The record is from RNAcentral. Lineage: Bacteria; Pseudomonadati; Verrucomicrobiota.